UACGGGGGGGGCAAGCGUUGUUCGGAAUUACUGGGCGUAAAGGGCUCGUAGGCGGCCAACUAAGUCGGACGUGAAAUCCCUCGGCUUAACCGGGGAACUGCGUCCGAUACUGGAUGGCUUGAGUUUGGGAGAGGGAUGAGGAAUUCCAGGUGUAGCGGUGAAAUGCGUAGAUAUCUGGAGGAACACCGGUGGCGAAGGCGGCAUCCUGGGCCAAUUACUGACGCUGAGUGAGCGAAAGCCAGGGGAGCAAACGGG
RNAcentral lists this ribosomal RNA (255 nucleotides) under uncultured bacterium. RNAcentral's name for it is "partial 16S ribosomal RNA". It matches the Rfam family "Bacterial small subunit ribosomal RNA", at positions 524 to 776 of the family's 1533-position model. The record is from RNAcentral.